UGAUUCCUGUACUAUGUGUACCCAGAAAUGUGGGGACGCAUGUGGAGAGCACGAGCCGGGAAAGAGAAGACCGGUACAAGCGGGGUAGGAGUAAGGACAGCAAAUCUUCCUUACAAUCCGAAGACGUAAUGUGGACCGAACCAAAGUAGGGAAGCGUGUGAGCCAUGUGCCAAGAAAAGCCGCUAUUGUGAUACACAUACCCGUACCGUAAACCGACACAGGUGGAUGAGGAGAGAAUCCUAAGGCCGACGGAAGAAGCAUUGUUAAGGAACUCGGCAAAAUGACCCCGUAACUUCGGGAGAAGGGGUGCCCUGUGAAAGCAGGGCCGCAGAGAAUAGGCUCAAGCAACUGUUUAGCAAAAACACAGGUCUAUGCGAAACCGAAAGGUGAGGUAUAUGGGCUGACGCCUGCCCGGUGCUGGAAGGUUAAGAGGAGAAGUCAGGCAACGAAGCUUCGAAUUUAAGCCCCAGUAAACGGCGGCCGUAAUAAUAACGGUCCUAAGGUAGCGAAAUUCCUUGUCGGGUAAGUUCCGACCCGCACGAAAGGCGUAAUGAUUUGAGCACUGUCUCGACAAUGCAUCCGGUGAAAUUGAAGUACCAGUGAAGAUGCUGGUUACCUGCGCCAGGACGGAAAGACCCCAUGGAGCUCUACUCCAGCUUGAUACUGGGAUUCGAUACUGUAUGUACAGGAUAGGUGGGAGACGUUGAACAUAGAACGCCAGUUUUAUGUGAGUCGCUGUUGGGAUACCACCCUUGCAGUAUUGGAUUUCUAACCUGCAGCCAUGACCUGGCUGGGGGACAAUGUCUGGCGGGGAGUUUGACUGGGGCGGUCGCCUCCAAAAGGGUAUCGGAGGCGCUCAAAGGUUCCCUCAGAAUGGUUGGAAACCAUUCGAAGAGUGCAAAGGCAGAAGGGAGCUUGACUGUGACACCGACGGGUGGAACAGGUACGAAAGUAGGACUUAGUGAUCCGGUGGUAUAAAGUGGGAUUGCCAUCGCUCAACGGAUAAAAGCUACCCUGGGAUAACAGGCUUAUCACUCCCAAGAGUUCACAUCGACGGAGUGGUUUGGCACCUCGAUGUCGGCUCAUCGCAUCCUGGGGCUGUAGCAGGUCCCAAGGGUUGGGCUGUUCGCCCAUUAAAGCGGUACGCGAGCUGGGUUCAGAACGUCGUGAGACAGUUCGGUCCCUAUCCGGCGCAGGCGGAGGAUAUUUGAGAGGAGCUGUCCUUAGUACGAGAGGACCGGGAUGGACGGACCGCUGGUGUAUCUGUUGGCUAUCAGAGCCAUGGCAGAGUAGCCAAGUCCGGCAGGGAUAAACGCUGAAGGCAUCUAAGCGUGAAGCCCCCCUCAAGAUGAGAUAUCCCUCAGAAAUGAGUAAGACCCCUUGAAGACUACAAGGUAGAUAGGAAUGAGGUGUAAGCACAGCAAUGUGUUCAGCUGACAUUUACUAAUCGGUCGAGGGCUUGACC
Molecule: ribosomal RNA, 1465 nt
Filed under: metagenome
Description: bacterial LSU rRNA
Rfam family: Bacterial large subunit ribosomal RNA
Source: RNAcentral